CCUACGGGAGGCAGCAGUGAGGAAUAUUGGUCAAUGGACGCAAGUCUGAACCAGCCAUGCCGCGUGCAGGAAGACGGCCCUAUGAGUUGUAAACUGCUUUUGUACGAGGGUAAACGCAGAUACGCGUAUCUGUCUGAAAGUAUCGUACGAAUAAGGAUCGGCUAACUCCGUGCCAGCAGCCGCGGUAAUACGGAGGAUUCAAGCGUUAUCCGGAUUUAUUGGGUUUAAAGGGUGCGUAGGCGGUCUGAUAAGUUAGAGGUGAAAUUCUGCGGCUCAACCUCGGAAUUGCCUCUGAUACUGGUCGGCUUGAGUGUAGUUGAGGUAGGCGGAAUGUAUGGUGUAGCGGUGAAAUGCUUAGAGAUCAUAAAGAACGCCGAUUGCGAAGGCAGCUUACCAAGCUACUUCUGACGUUGAGGCACGAAAGCGUGGGGAGCAAACAGGAUUAGAUACCCUGGUAGUC
RNAcentral lists this ribosomal RNA (460 nucleotides) under uncultured bacterium. Its description in RNAcentral is "partial 16S ribosomal RNA". It matches the Rfam family "Bacterial small subunit ribosomal RNA", at positions 338 to 795 of the family's 1533-position model. The record is from RNAcentral.